This 494-nucleotide ribosomal RNA is filed under the name uncultured bacterium. RNAcentral describes it as "partial 16S ribosomal RNA". It matches the Rfam family "Bacterial small subunit ribosomal RNA", at positions 28 to 507 of the family's 1533-position model. The record is from RNAcentral.
GACGAACGCUGGCGGCGUGCUUAACACAUGCAAGUCGAACGGAAAGGCCUGCUUUCCCUUGUGGAUUGCGGGUACUCGAGUGGCGAACGGGUGAGUAACACGUGAGUGAUCUGCCCCCAACUUGGGUAUAAGCCUGGGAAACUGGGUCUAAUUCCCGAUAGGACUGCAGGGUGGUGCCUGUGGUGGAAAACGAUUUUCUAGUGGUUGGGGAUGAGCUCGCGGCCUAUCAGCUUGUUGGUGGGGUAAUGGCCUACCAAGGCGGCGACGGGUAGCCGGCCUGAGAGGGUGGACGGCCACAUUGGGACUGAGAUACGGCCCAGACUCCUACGGGAGGCAGCAGUGGGGAAUAUUGCACAAUGGGCGGAAGCCUGAUGCAGCGACGCCGCGUGGGGGAUGACGGCCUUCGGGUUGUAGACUCCUUUCGACCGCGAGGAAGCCACCUGGUUGGAAGGGUGGUGACGGUAGUGGUAGAAGAAGCACCGGCUAACUACGUG